Molecule: long non-coding RNA, 1501 nt
Filed under: Bos mutus (wild yak)
Lineage: Eukaryota; Metazoa; Chordata; Mammalia; Artiodactyla; Bovidae
Description: lncRNA (ENSBMUG00000024631.1)
Source: RNAcentral
GUUUCAUUUCUACAUUCAGUUUUAGUCCAUCUGGAAUUUGGGUCUGACUGUGAAAGCCAGCUUCCCACUGCUUGGCUGUGUGGCACUUAACAUCUCAGGAUCCCCUGUCCCCACUUGACAGGUAAGACGUUAGGUCAGCACAUCUCCGAGGCUUCUUCCUAACGCACAGUUGUGAGAACUCGUUCCUCCUCUCUUCAGCCUGAAACCACAGUGAUGUUCCAGCCAGUGUGAAGCUAAAACCAAUUCACAGAUUUCCAAUAACCCUACAAAGAUAUGGUCACGUUCACACAGGGUCAGCUGCCAUCCCGUCUCUCUGCCUUUUUCUCCUCCACAAAUAAAAGAAAGCACAACGAGGCAGGUUUCUUAAUGCCCACCUCCUGGCUUUUAAUCAUUCCUCUUUGACAUUUCAGUUUCAACCACACUGCACGUACCAAGCCAAGAACGGAGGAGAAGCAUCUGUAACUAGAACUGUUAUGAAAACCAGAUAUCGGACUUUACUGGCAUUUCUGGAAGCUCCAGUUUGCAGGACUUGGAAGGGCAGGCCCCAAAGCAAGCAGCAAAGAGUACACUCUUCCAGGAAUUUGGGAAGAAGCUCCUGACUCCCCACGGCAAAAACAACCCUGAAGAGAGACAUGUGGGAUCUGGGGCCAAGGGGGCUUUUCUCAUCGCUGGGAGACGUGCUGGGUGAACUGGCUAUCCACUGAAGAAAGACCAAAGUAGAAGGAGAAAAGAUAGGACAACAUGGUUAUGACCUUGGAGUUGGAGUGGGCACCGCCUCAAGCAAACACAAAUCACAAAGGCAAACAGAAAGAGUGAUGUCAGCCUUUAUCAAAAUGUGGAACUUCUGAUUCAGAAUCAGGAAUCACUAGAAGCUGAGAUAAAGACAAACAACAAAGUUGGAGAAGGUAUUUGUAAUAUAUAUAGAUAGAUAGAUAGAUAUGUGUGCAUGUGAGUUCAGUUGCUUCAGUCAUGUCUGACUCUUUGAUACCUCUGAGACUGUAGCCUGCCGGGUUCCUCUGUCUACGGGAUUCUCCAGGCAAGAAUACUGGAGUGGGUUGCCAUUGCCUCCUCCAGAUCUUUCCAACUCAGAAAUCAAAUGUACAUCUCCUACGUCUCCUGUACUGCAGGCAGAUUCUUUACCACUGAGCCACCAGGGAAGCCCAUAAUAUGUGUGUGUACAUGUAUUUAGGUGUAUGUGUGUAUACAUAUACAGAUAUAUAUUUAUGUAUAUGCAGAAAUGGAUACACAUACACAUAAAAGCUGGAUUAUUAUCCAGACUUUGUUAAAAACUACUAUCAAUCUGUAGGAAAAAAGACCAAGACCAACAACCCAAUGGAAAAAUAGAUAAAAAGAUGAGCAGCCAGUUCAUAAGAUGGGAGGGUCCAGAGAGACCUUUGUUUUAUCUUGACAGUGCAAAUUUUUAAUACUUCCAGGGAGGGCUUAUUCUUAUAUGAAUUUUAUAAAGAAAAUAAAGAAGAAAAUCAUCUGAAGAUGAAACCCA